GACGAACGCUGGCGGCGUGCUUAACACAUGCAAGUCGAACGGAAAGGCCCUGCUUUUGUGGGGUGCUCGAGUGGUGAACGGGUGAGUAACACGUGAGUAACCUGCCCUUGACUUUGGGAUAACUUCAGGAAACUGGGGCUAAUACCGGAUAGGAGCUCCUGCUGCAUGGUGGGGGUUGGAAAGUUUCGGCGGUUGGGGAUGGACUCGCGGCUCAUCAGCUUGUUGGUGGGGUAGUGGCUUACCAAGGCUUUGACGGGUAGCCGGCCUGAGAGGGUGACCGGCCACAUUGGGACUGAGAUACGGCCCAGACUCCUACGGGAGGCAGCAGUGGGGAAUAUUGCACAAUGGGCGGAAGCCUGAUGCAGCAACGCCGCGUGCGGGAUGACGGCCUUCGGGUUGUAAACCGCUUUCGCCUGUGACGAAGCGUGAGUGACGGUAAUGGGUAAAGAAGCACCGGCUAACUACGUG
RNAcentral lists this ribosomal RNA (468 nucleotides) under uncultured bacterium. RNAcentral describes it as "partial 16S ribosomal RNA". It matches the Rfam family "Bacterial small subunit ribosomal RNA", at positions 28 to 507 of the family's 1533-position model. The record is from RNAcentral.